CCUACGGGCGGCAGCAGUGGGGAAUAUUGCACAAUGGGGGAAACCCUGAUGCAGCGACGCCGCGUGAGUGAAGAAGUAAUUCGUUAUGUAAAGCUCUAUCAGCAGGGAAGAAAAUGACGGUACCUGAGUAAUAAGCCCCGGCUAACUACGUGCCAGCAGCCGCGGUAAUACGUAGUGGGCAAGCGUGAUCCGGAUUUACUGGGUGUAAGGGGAGCGUAGACGGAAGUGCAAGUCUGGAGUGAAAGGCGGGGGGUCAACCCGGACUGCUCUGGAGACUGUACGGCUGGAGUGCAGGAGAGGUAAGUGGAAUUCCUAGUGUAGCGGUGAAAUGCGUAGAUAUUAGGAGGAACACCAGUGGCGAAGGCGGCUUACUGGACUGUAACUGACGUUGAGGCUCGAAAGCGUGGGGAGCAAACAGGAUUAGAUACCCCUGUAGUC
Molecule: ribosomal RNA, 438 nt
Filed under: uncultured bacterium
Lineage: Bacteria
Description: partial 16S ribosomal RNA
Rfam family: Bacterial small subunit ribosomal RNA
Source: RNAcentral